UUAUAUCUUUUUGGGGCUAAUUUGCAAGUAUCUCAUAAUAUCACACAAUUAAGGUAGGUAGUAUCACUUUACAAUCACUAUUAGUGGAUAGGGGUGAGACUUUUCUAUAUAAGAACGUGCCAGCAUAGGCGGUCAAACUUUCGGAAUAGUAAAUUUGACAGUUGAAAAAAAAACAACUUAAUAAGAUAGUGAAAUGUUCGUAUUGGUAAGUUAUGAAGGAUCUGCUAUAAACUAGGAUUAGAUACCCUACUAUAGAUCUGAUAAUAAAAUUCAGAGUAGAUAAUAUUUUUAUUGAAAAGAGAAGAGAGGUGGUGGUUAUAUAAGCUCUUGGAUGUACAUGUACUUAUCGAAAAUGCACGAUAAUCUUUCUUGUAAUUUCUUACACACCGCCGUCGGAAGAACCUUUGGUUCUCUAUCCUUUAAAGGAAAUAAGUCAGGCCAAGGCGUAGAAUAAACAAGUGCCUAUGUGUAUCAUUAUGAAUUUAUAAAAGCUACUGGAAUCAGUAGCUUAAAUAGAAUUCAAAAGUAAACUAAUAAAAUCAACAUAGUUGAAUUGUCUCUUUAUAACAUACAGAUUGCCCGUCAAUCCGUUAGAUGGAUAAGUCGAAACAAAGUUGAUGUACUGGAAAGUGUAUCAUAAUCAUA
RNAcentral lists this non-coding RNA (645 nucleotides) under Fulicoffula longipila. Lineage: Eukaryota; Metazoa; Arthropoda; Insecta; Psocodea; Philopteridae. The record is from RNAcentral.